RNAcentral lists this ribosomal RNA (492 nucleotides) under uncultured bacterium. RNAcentral describes it as "partial 16S ribosomal RNA". It matches the Rfam family "Bacterial small subunit ribosomal RNA", at positions 29 to 507 of the family's 1533-position model. The record is from RNAcentral.
AGUGAACGCUGGCGGUAGGCCUAACACAUGCAAGUCGAACGGCAGCACAGUAAGAGCUUGCUCUUACGGGUGGCGAGUGGCGGACGGGUGAGGAAUACAUCGGAAUCUACUUUUUCGUGGGGGAUAACGUAGGGAAACUUACGCUAAUACCGCAUACGACCUACGGGUGAAAGCAGGGGAUCUUCGGACCUUGCGCGAUUGAAUGAGCCGAUGUCGGAUUAGCUAGUUGGCGGGGUAAAGGCCCACCAAGGCGACGAUCCGUAGCUGGUCUGAGAGGAUGAUCAGACCCACUGGAACUGAGACACGGUCCAGACUCCUACGGGAGGCAGCAGUGGGGAAUAUUGGACAAUGGGCGCAAGCCUGAUCCAGCCAUACCGCGUGGGUGAAGAAGGCCUUCGGGUUGUAAAGCCCUUUUGUUGGGAAAGAAAAGCAGCAGGUUAAUACCCCGCUGUUCUGACGGUACCCAAAGAAUAAGCACCGGCUAACUUCGUG